This 492-nucleotide ribosomal RNA is filed under the name uncultured bacterium. Its description in RNAcentral is "partial 16S ribosomal RNA". It matches the Rfam family "Bacterial small subunit ribosomal RNA", at positions 29 to 507 of the family's 1533-position model. The record is from RNAcentral.
AGUGAACGCUGGCGGUAGGCCUAACACAUGCAAGUCGAACGGCAGCACCGUAAGAGCUUGCUCUUACGGGUGGCGAGUGGCGGACGGGUGAGGAAUACAUCGGAAUCUACUUUUUCGUGGGGGAUAACGUAGGGAAACUUACGCUAAUACCGCAUACGACCUACGGGUGAAAGCAGGGGAUCUUCGGACCUUGCGCGAUUGAAUGAGCCGAUGUCGGAUUAGCUAGUUGGCGGGGUAAAGGCCCACCAAGGCGACGAUCCGUAGCUGGUCUGAGAGGAUGAUCAGCCACACUGGAACUGAGACACGGUCCAGACUCCUACGGGAGGCAGCAGUGGGGAAUAUUGGACAAUGGGCGCAAGCCUGAUCCAGCCAUACCGCGUGGGUGAAGAAGGCCUUCGGGUUGUAAAGCCCUUUUGUAGGGAAAGAAAAGCAGCAGGUUAAUACCCCGCUGUUCUGACGGUACCCAAAGAAUAAGCACCGGCUAACUUCGUG